Molecule: long non-coding RNA, 973 nt
Filed under: Mustela putorius furo (domestic ferret)
Lineage: Eukaryota; Metazoa; Chordata; Mammalia; Carnivora; Mustelidae
Description: lncRNA (ENSMPUG00000028931.1)
Source: RNAcentral
GGCUCGUUCUCCUACUCAUCCCGCCACGCACGGCCUCUCGGAACCCGGGCUUUCCUACCAGCUCUUUUCCUUUGCUCUCUUCUGCGCUAUGGAAAGCAGGGAGGCAAGCCUCGCCAAUUCGGGAACACAAAUAUUUGCCAGUCAAGAAAACAUUCCGCUAUCAGUCAAAACCCAGACGAGCUGGCACACGUGGUCUACAGAUGCCGGAGGGAGCUUCUAUUUUAGGGGACACCAGGCUUGCAGCGUCUCCCCCUCCCCAGACAACCCAGGCUCCUUCUCAUUCCUACCUCGUCUGCUGAUGAGGAGACUGACGUUCAAAGUCAUCACUGGCCCUCUGUCACACCGCAUCAGGACGGACCUUUUCUUUCUUUUCCUUUUCCGUUUUCCUCACGUGAUCUCCACACUCAAUGAAGGGCUUGAACUCAGGAUCCCAAAAGCAAGAGCGGUUCCCUCCAGGGCGCCCGGCUGGCUCCGUUGGGAGAACAUGGCACAAUGAUGAAGUGUUCAAAUUCAGCCACUGCCUGUCCCUAACAGCCUGUCCUAGCAGAUUCAUGCCCAGGAAACCGGUUCUGGCCCCGGUUAAAAUUCCGUUUUCUGUCCUCGCGCCAGACCCCUGACUUAGAAUUCUCCAGAAGUGUGCACGUUUCUUUCUCCUCUUUUUUAAAAUUUUUAUUUAUUUGAGAGAGAGAAAGAGAGAGCGAGCACAAGCGGGUGCCGGGGCAGAGGGAGAAGCAGGCUCGGCGCUGAGCAGGGGCCUGAUGCUGUGGGAAUCGAUCCCAGGACCCUGAGAUGAUGACCUGACUCAAAGGUAGAGGCUUAACCCCCUGAGCCAUCCGGCCGUGUGCAUGUCAACGCUCACAGCCCGCUGGGGGCUCCGACCCAGGAGAGGGCGUGAGCCCCCCGAGUGGCGGGGCAGACAGAGAACCCAUCAGCUGGCGCGGCAGCCCAGCGAACCUGCCCCUUCCCGAGCCAG